This 59-nucleotide transfer RNA is filed under the name Bragasellus molinai. RNAcentral's name for it is "transfert RNA-E(GAA)". The record is from RNAcentral. Lineage: Eukaryota; Metazoa; Arthropoda; Malacostraca; Isopoda; Asellidae.
AUCUUUGCAGUGGGGGCCAUGUUAUAAUUUCAUUAUAAAGAAGAUUUAAUCCUAAGAUG